CCUACGGGAGGCAGCAGUGGGGAAUAUUGGGCAAUGGGCGCAAGCCUGACCCAGCAACGCCGCGUGAAGGAAGAAGGCUUUCGGGUUGUAAACUUCUUUUAAGAGGGAAGAGCAGAAGACGGUACCUCUUGAAUAAGCUACGGCUAACUACGUGCCAGCAGCCGGGGUAAUACGGAGGUGGCAAGCGUUGUCCGGAUUUACUGGGGGUAAAGGGCGUGUAGCCGGGCUGACAAGUCAGAUGUGAAAUUCCGGGGCUCAACCCCGGAACUGCAUUUGAAACUGUUUGUCUUGAGUAUCGGAGAGGCAGGCGGAAUUCCUAGUGUAGCAGUGAAAUGCGUAGAUAUUAGGAGGAACACCAGUGGCGAAGGCGACCUGCUGGACGACAACUGACGGUGAGGCGCGAAAGCGUGGGUAGCAAACAGGAUUAGAUACCCCGGUAGUC
This 442-nucleotide ribosomal RNA is filed under the name uncultured bacterium. RNAcentral's name for it is "partial 16S ribosomal RNA". It matches the Rfam family "Bacterial small subunit ribosomal RNA", at positions 338 to 795 of the family's 1533-position model. The record is from RNAcentral.